This 1216-nucleotide ribosomal RNA is filed under the name uncultured Rhizaria. RNAcentral describes it as "SSU rRNA". It matches the Rfam family "Eukaryotic small subunit ribosomal RNA", at positions 577 to 1804 of the family's 1831-position model. The record is from RNAcentral.
CGGUAAUUCCUGCUCCAAUAGCGUAUACUAAAGUUGUUGCAGUUAAAAAGCUCGUAGUUGGGUUUCUGUGGGGACGGAGCGGCCGGUCGCAACUUGCGACUCGAGCUAGCGCUUUCCCCGUAUCCUGCUGUGAACCGUGCUAUUAUUAGUUUGGUGGCGCUGGGGAUCGGCUCGAUUACUUUGAGAAAAAUAGAGUGUUCAAAGCAGGCCACACGCCUUGAAUAAGUUAGCAUGGAAUAAUGACUAAGGACUUUGGUUCUUUUCGUUGGUGUUCGGGACUGAAGUAAUGAUUGAUAGGGACAGUUGGGGCGGUCCGUAUUCCAAAGCGAGAGGUGAAAUUCUUAGACCUUCGGAAGACGAACAGCUGCGAAAGCGUUUCGCAAGGAUGUUCUCUUUGAUCAAGAACGAAAGUUGGGGAUCGAAGACGAUCAGAUACCGUCGUAGUCUCAACUAUAAACUAUACCAGCUAGGGAUCGGCCAACGUUUAAUUAUUCGACUUGGUCGGCACCUUAUGAGAAAUCAAAGCAUCUGGGUUCCGGGGGGAGUAUGGUCGCAAGGCUGAAACUUAAAGGAAUUGACGGAAGGGCACCACUAGCCGUGGAGCCUGUGGCUUAAUUUGACUCAACACGGGAAAACUUACCAGGUCCGGACAUAGUAAGGAUUGACAGAUUGAUAGCUCUUUCUUGAUUCUGUGGGUGGUGGUGCAUGGCCGUUUUUAGUCGGUGGAUGUGAUCUGUCUGCUUAAUUGCGUUAACGGACGAGACCCCAGCCUGCUAAAUAGCACGGCCGAGCUUUGCUCGGUGCGAGCUUCUUAGAGGGACCAUGAUGCGCGAUAGCACAAGGAAGUUUGGGGCAACAACAGGUCUGUGAUGCCCUUAGAUGUUCUGGGCCGCACACGGGCUACACUGGCGCCUGCAACGAGCAUAUCAGCUGGCCCGAGAGGGUCUUGGCUAAUCUUUGGAACCGGCGCCGUGCUUGGGAUUGACCAUUGCAAUUGUUGGUCAUGCAACGAGGAAUGCCUUGUAAACGCGAGUCAUCAGCUCGCAUUGAAUACGUCCCUGUUUUUUGUACACACCGCCCGUCGCUCCUACCGAUGAAUGUUCCGAUGAAAUUUUCGGAGAGCGCCGGAGAACGGGGCUCCGCCCUGCAGAACUGGAGGCUCAAAGUCACUUAAAUCUGAACAUUUCGAGGAAGGAGAAGUCGUAACAAGGUAACC